GUAGGGAAUAUUCGACAAUGGACGAAAGUCUGAUCGAGCAACGCCGCGUGAGGGAUGAAGGUCUUCGGAUUGUAAACCUCUUUUAUAAGGGAAGAACACCCACAGUAGGAAAUGGCUGUGGAAUGACGGUACCUUUUGAAUAAGCAACGGCUAACUAUGUGCCAGCAGCCGCGGUAAUACAUAGGUUGCAAGCGUUAUCCGGAUUUACUGGGCGUAAAGCGUGUGUAGUCGGUUUCUUAAGUCUGACGUGCAAUGACAAGGCUCAACCUUGUCCUGCGUUGGAAACUGGGAAGCUAGAGUUACGGAGGGGCAAAUGGAAUUCCUAGUGUAUCGGUGGAAUGAGUAGAUAUUAGGAGGAACAUCAGUGGCGAAGGCGAUUUGCUGGACGAUAACUGACGAUGAGACACGAAAGCGUGGGUAGCAAACAGGAUUAGAAACCCCAGUAGUCC
Molecule: ribosomal RNA, 449 nt
Filed under: uncultured bacterium
Lineage: Bacteria
Description: bacterial SSU rRNA
Rfam family: Bacterial small subunit ribosomal RNA
Source: RNAcentral